This 355-nucleotide long non-coding RNA is filed under the name Nicotiana benthamiana. RNAcentral's name for it is "long non-coding RNA (NBEN_LNC024942)". The record is from RNAcentral. Lineage: Eukaryota; Viridiplantae; Streptophyta; Magnoliopsida; Solanales; Solanaceae.
GUCGUUCAACCGUAGUUAAACCUUUUCUGAUUUUUUGAUGUCGAAGGCACAUAGCCUGAGUCCCCGUUCAACCGUGGUUGAACUUUUGGUCGAAGGCACGUAGACCGAACUGUAGUUCAACCGUAUUUGAACCUUUUGUGUUUUUUUUUAAGUCGAAGACGCAUAGACUGAGUUCCCAUUCAACCGUAGUUGAACCCUUUGGCUUUCCCUCACAACCCGCUUUGUGCUAGGCGUUGGGAUUUGUUUCUGGUUUCGGGUCUUGCCUAACUCGUGCUUGUACUCUUCUCGACUGGUUCGCACAGGUUACCCCGUUACAGAUCUCGGUUCGAGAUGCUUUUGUGCUUUCCUCCUUUUU